AACGAACGCUGGCGGCAGGCUUAAUACAUGCAAGUCGAACGCCCCGCCAGGGGGGUGGCAGACGGGAGAGUAGCGCGUGGGGAUCUACCCAUCCCUACGGAAUAACGCAUGGAAACGGGUGCUAAUACCGUAUACGCCCUACGGGGGAAAGAAUUAUCGAGGAUGGAGGAGCUCGCGUUGGAUUAGCGAGUUGGUGGGGUAAAGGCCUACCAAGGCGACGAUCCAUAGCUGGUCUGAGAGGAUGAGCAGCCACAUUGGGACUGAGACACGGCCCAAACUCCUACGCGAGGCAGCAGUGGGGAAUAUUGGACAAUGGGCGCAAGCAUGAUCCAGCCAUGCCGCGUGAGUGAUGAAGGCCUUAGGGUUGUAAAGCUCUUUCACCGGAGAAGAUAAUGACGGUAUCCGGAGAAGAAGCCCCGGCUAACUUCGUG
Molecule: ribosomal RNA, 431 nt
Filed under: uncultured bacterium
Lineage: Bacteria
Description: partial 16S ribosomal RNA
Rfam family: Bacterial small subunit ribosomal RNA
Source: RNAcentral